CCUUUUCACACGCCGACAGCGGGUAUUCACCUGGGCCGUUCCCACUUGACAUCCUGUUUUACAAUAACUGCUGCAGGUAGUCCAGGUGUCUAUGAAACCUGAGGGUGAACUAAGCCAAGGUGAAAAUAGAUUCAUUUUCCACACUAUAUUUAGAGCUCCCUGCUGUUGAAUUCUGGACAGACUGGCUGCAAGGCAAAUUAAGCUGCUGUAACAGAAGCCGUAACAGGACCCGCACCAGCAGAUGUUUCAUAACAUGAAGGGUAUACAGAACUGAUUACUGUAUACUGUACUGCAAGUCAAAAGUUUGGACACACCUUCUAAUUCCAUGGUGGUUCCUGA
This is a long non-coding RNA of Clarias gariepinus (North African catfish), 339 nucleotides long. RefSeq lists it as uncharacterized. The transcript is spliced from 4 exons. The record is from RefSeq and is a predicted model, not a curated record. NCBI's taxonomy places the organism in Eukaryota, Metazoa, Chordata, Actinopteri, Siluriformes, Clariidae.